AGAUCUUGCUGCAGCUUCUGUGCUCUCCCCUUUCUUGGAGCCCAGGACAGCCCUCCCUCGACCUCCCCCUUCCCUUCCUUCUUCCCCCUCCCAGUGUCCCUAAAGGGGCCCACCUUCAAGAGCUCCUAGCUGAGCUGAGCUGCUGCCCCCACCCCCAGUCCCAGCAGCUUGCUCUCAGGAGCCUGGGAACCGGAUCAGCCCCAGGGCCACUUCCAGAUGGAAGACGCACCUGCGGCCCACUUCCCUGGUCUGUUUGGCUGAUGGGGGCAGAAAGAAAUGACUGGCGGGGGGGCUCCCCACUGCUCUGAGCCUGAUGUCACAGAGCCUUCUCUCUCCUCCGCCCUUCCCCCUCUGCUCUGAGAGACUAGCCCCGCCCUACAGUGACGUCACUGUACCCACCCUCUCUCACCAUCUUGGAAGUCUUUGUCUCUGGUGGAGGCUAUGAGUGGGGUGAGCAGCUGGAGGUCCGAGUGCCCCCCCACUUUCCUUCUCCACACCCCUCCCCUCCGUUACCCCCAUCUUCCAGACUGACAGAUCCGGAGGGUCCUGCAAGUGUCGAAGUGUCUGUGAGCGAGGGCCUGGUGAAUGGGGAGUUUCCACGUACCUUGCUGUGGAACAGAAAGAGGGGACUGUUCCUGAACCUGCGGAUCUCUGUGAUUUACAGCCUGAAAGAAAAGAGUUGUUUUAAUGUGCACUUCUCUAAUUACAAGGAAUUUGGAGCAUUUUGUCUCCCGUUUGUAGAGGACACUGAGCCAGAAAAGAGGAUGUGCCUCCCUCUUGUCCAGGGUCUGCAAGGUUUAUAUUAUAUAGGAUUUAUGCCAGAGUACCCUCACAUGAACAGCCAGGGCAGACAAGCUGCCUCCCUUGGUGCCCCAAUCUCCCUCACCCCCUUCCCCGCCCAGAUCUUUGUCUCCUUUUGGCGGGAGAAAAGAGGCUGAGUCCCGCCCCUUCCUUAGACCUCCCCCAACACUUUCUCUGCUCUGGGGAUUGUGAGGAAUCCAAGUUCCAUUCACUACUGCUUUGCAGAUGCUGCUGCAGCUACUGUUCUCUUCCCUUUUGUGGAGCCCAGGGCACCCCUCCCUCCCCCUCCGCCAUGCCCUCUUUGUCCUCCCCCUCCCAGUUUGCAUAAAGGGGCCGAUCCUCAAGAACUGCAAGCUGAGCUCUGCUGCCGCUUCCCACCCCAUUCCCAGCAGCCUGUCCUCGUGAACCUGGGACCCUGGUCAGCGCCAGGGCCACUUCCACGUGGAAGAUGCACCUGCGGUCCGCUUCCCUAUUCUGUUUGGGUCAUGGAGGUAGAGAGAAAUGACUGGGAGGGCUCCCCACUGCUUUGGGCGUGAUAUCAGAAACCCCCUCCUCUCCUUCUUUGCUCUGGAGGAGACUACCCUGCUCUGCAGUGACGUCACAGAGUCCGGGCCUGAAGGAGGGGGUGGGGCUCUCCUACCUUCUAUUAAGUGGUGUCCCAUGUAUUCCUCCCUCUCCCUAUCCUCGAGAGCCAUGCCAUGUGAGGAAUGGUAUUUCUUGAUUAGGAAGGAAAAGAAAAGUGAGCACAACUGAUGGAUGCAUUUGGGAAAAGAUGUGCAAUGUGUAACACCUGUGGACCUCUCACCUGGAUGGGGUAGGGUGAUGAUGUCUUCUUACAUUUCCUUUUCAGGCCCACUUCAUCUUUAAUGUUUUGUUAGAGGUACUUUAAAAAUUUUGCUGUGUCGUUCUUUCUACUUCAGUUGUAGUUACUGAGUAUAUAUACUGUUGGGUUGGGUUUUUUGUUUUUACUCAAUUCACUUUGCAUCAGUUCACAAAGGUUUUUCCAUACUUCUCUGUACUCUUCCCACACAUCAUUUCUUCUUGCAUGGGAACAGCAUUCCAUGCCUUUCAUGUUCUUGUCUUGUUCCAUGUCUUAUUUAGCCAUUCCCCCCUUGAUGAGCAUCUGCUUUCUUUACAAAUCAUACCUGUCACAAAGAGUGUUAUUAUAAAUAUUUUGGAAUAUAUGGGGACAUUUUUCUCAUUAAUGGCUCCAUUGGGGUAUAAUGGAGUCUUUGUUUUAGAGGCUUUGGACAUUGUUCUUUGCAGAAUUCCAAAUUACUUUGGAAAAUGGAUGUGUCAUUUCACAGCUCCUCUAAUAUUAGUUUGUGUAUAUCCCUACCCCCCUGUUUAGGUAUCACAAACAUGUUUGUGCCAUAAAAGGAAUUUGAUAGGAUUCCUUCUUUACCUGUUGUUUCAAGUAGUUUAUAUAGUAUUGGGAUGAAUUUUUUUUAAAUGUUUACUAGAAUUCACUUUCACACUUGAUCUGGUCCUGAGAAUUUUUUCCUAGGAAACUGAUGUGUGCCGUGUUCAAUUUUUUUCCUUUAAGACAGUUAUUUAUGUAUUCUAUUUCCUCUUCUGUUAACAUGGGCAGGUCAUGUUUUUUGUAAUUAUUCAUCCGUUUCAAAUAGAUUGUCAGUUUUGCUGGCAUAUGUUUGAGCAAAAAGCUCCUUAGCACUGCUGUAAUUUCAUCUUCAUUGGUGAUGCAUUUACUCUUUGUUUUUGAAACUGGUAAUUUGUU
Molecule: non-coding RNA, 2539 nt
Organism: Phascolarctos cinereus (koala)
Lineage: Eukaryota; Metazoa; Chordata; Mammalia; Diprotodontia; Phascolarctidae
Source: RefSeq, a predicted model, not a curated record